This 839-nucleotide ribosomal RNA is filed under the name uncultured archaeon. Its description in RNAcentral is "bacterial SSU rRNA". It matches the Rfam family "Archaeal small subunit ribosomal RNA", at positions 78 to 903 of the family's 1478-position model. The record is from RNAcentral.
GUGGCGAACAGCUCAGUAACACGUGGACAACCUACCUUUGGGAGGGAAAUAACCUCGGGAAACUGAGGACAAUGUUCCAUAGGUGAGAUGUUCUGUAAUGACUCUCAUUGAAAGGGUCUUUUCUAUUGCUGAAAAGACUGCCUAAAGAAGGGUCUGCGGUGGAUUAGAUAGAUGUUGAGGUAAUAGCUCAACAUGUCUGUGAUCCAUACCGGCUAUGGGAGUAGGAGCCGGGAGAUGGAUACUGAGACAAAGAUCCAGGCUCUACGGAGCGCAGCAGGCGCGAAAACUCCACAAUGCGCGCAAGCGUGAUGGGGGAACUCCAAGUGUUCCUCAAAAGAGGAACUUUUGUAGUAUGUAAAAAGUACUAAGAAUAAGAGCUGGGCAAGACCGGUGCCAGCCUCCGCGGUAAAACCAGCAGCUCUAGUGGUAGUCACAACUAUUGGGCUUAAAGCGUUCGUAGCCGGUCUGGUAAGUUCUCUGUGAAAUCCUUGGGCUUAACCUAAGGGCUGGCAGAGAAUACUACUAGACUUGGAGCCGGGGGAGGUUGAGGGAAUUUCUGGGGUAGCGGUGAAAUGCUAUAAUCCCAGAAGGACCUCCAAGGGCGAAGGCACUCAACCAAAACGGGCUCGACGGUGAGGAACGAAAGCUAGGGUAUCAAACCGGAUUAGAUACCCGGGUAGUCCUAGCCACAAACGAUGCGGACUAGGUGUUUCUCGAACUUCGAGUUCGGGAAAUGCUGAAAGGAAACUAUUUAGUCCGCCGCCUGGGGAGUACGGUCGCAAGGCUGAAACUUAAAGGAAUUGGCGGGGGAGCACCACAAGGGGUGGAGUCUGCGGUUC